ACAAUGGGCGAAAGCCUGAUGCAGCAACGCCGCGUGAGUGAUGAAGGCCUUCGGGUUGUAAAGCUCUGUCUUCUGGGACGAUAAUGACGGUACCAGAGGAGGAAGCCACGGCUAACUACGUGCCAGCAGCCGCGGUAAUACGUAGGCGGCAAGCGUUGUCCGGAUUUACUGGGCGUAAAGGAUGCGUAGGCGGAUACUUAAGUCAGAUGUGAAAAUCCCGGGCUUAACUUGGGAACUGCAUUUGAAACUGGGUAUCUAGAGUGCGGGAGAGGAAAGUGGAAUUCCUAGUGUAGCGGUGAA
Molecule: ribosomal RNA, 300 nt
Filed under: uncultured bacterium
Lineage: Bacteria
Description: bacterial SSU rRNA
Rfam family: Bacterial small subunit ribosomal RNA
Source: RNAcentral